AGCAGUAGCCGCGGGAAUACGAGGGGGGCAAGCGUUGUUCGGAAUUAUUGGGCGUAAAGGGUGCGUAGGCGGUUUGGCAAGUUUGGUGUGAAAUCUUCGGGCUCAACUCGAAGUCUGCAUCGAAAACUGCCGGGCUUGAGUAUGGGAGAGGUGAGUGGAAUUUCCGGUGUAGCGGUGAAAUGCGUAGAUAUCGGAAGGAACACCUGUGGCGAAAGCGGCUCACUGGACCAUAACUGACGCUGAGGUACGAAAGCAUGGGGAGCAAACAGGAUUAGAUACCCCUGUAGUCCCUGUCUCUUAUAA
Molecule: ribosomal RNA, 303 nt
Filed under: uncultured bacterium
Lineage: Bacteria
Description: partial 16S ribosomal RNA
Rfam family: Bacterial small subunit ribosomal RNA
Source: RNAcentral